This 261-nucleotide small nuclear RNA is filed under the name Microtus ochrogaster (prairie vole). Its description in RNAcentral is "7SK RNA (ENSMOCG00000005476.1)". It matches the Rfam family "7SK RNA", at positions 42 to 331 of the family's 331-position model. Rfam says of the family: 7SK was discovered as an abundant small nuclear RNA in the mid-70s but a possible function has only recently been suggested. Two independent studies have found that 7SK RNA binds the CDK9/cyclin T complex (known as elongation factor P-TEFb). The record is from RNAcentral. Lineage: Eukaryota; Metazoa; Chordata; Mammalia; Rodentia; Cricetidae.
GGAUGCCAGGGAGACCUGGCUCUGGCUGAAGAGGUGAGUGUCCCCGCCCUCCCUCAUGGCUCUAUGUGUGUCCCUGCUGAAGCCAUGUGCUCGUCAAGGAGAGCAAGCUUCUCCAUAGAAGAAGACCAGGAUUUGGGCGAGCAUGUGAACAGCUGAGUUCCCUGAUGGAACCAUAAAACAAGAUCUCCAGGGAAGCCGGCCCUGUGGACAAGAGCAGCCACAGCCCUGGGCACCUCUCAAUACCCCCAGAUGGUCACUUCG